This 494-nucleotide ribosomal RNA is filed under the name uncultured bacterium. RNAcentral describes it as "bacterial SSU rRNA". It matches the Rfam family "Bacterial small subunit ribosomal RNA", at positions 28 to 521 of the family's 1533-position model. The record is from RNAcentral.
GAUGAACGCUAGCGGCAGGCUUAACACAUGCAAGUCGAGGGGCAGCACGUCUUCGGAUGGUGGCGACCGGCGCACGGGUGCGUAACGCGUAUACAAUCUACCUUUUACAGGGGCAUAGCCCGGGGAAACCCGGAUUAAUAUCCCAUGGUACCAUGAUNUGGCAUCAUAUUAUGGUUAAAGCUUCGGCGGUGAAAGAUGAGUAUGCGUUCUAUUAGCUAGAUGGUAAGGUAACGGCUUACCAUGGCUUUGAUAGAUAGGGGUCCUGAGAGGGAGAUCCCCCACACUGGUACUGAGACACGGACCAGACUCCUACGGGAGGCAGCAGUGAGGAAUAUUGGACAAUGGGCGAGAGCCUGAUCCAGCCAUGCCGCGUGCAGGAAGACGGCCCUAUGGGUUGUAAACUGCUUUUAUACGGGAAGAAACACCCCUUCGUGAAGAGACUUGACGGUACCGUAUGAAUAAGGAUCGGCUAACUCCGUGCCAGCAGCCGCGGU